UGGGGUGUGGCUCCGUGGUAGAGAGCUUGCCUAGCACGCAUAAGACCCUGGGUUUGAUCCUCAGCACCACAU
RNAcentral lists this transfer RNA (72 nucleotides) under Marmota monax (woodchuck). It matches the Rfam family "tRNA". Rfam says of the family: Transfer RNA (tRNA) molecules are approximately 80 nucleotides in length. Their secondary structure includes four short double-helical elements and three loops (D, anti-codon, and T loops). Lineage: Eukaryota; Metazoa; Chordata; Mammalia; Rodentia; Sciuridae. The record is from Rfam by way of RNAcentral.